Molecule: non-coding RNA, 2328 nt
Organism: Oryza sativa Japonica Group (Japanese rice)
Lineage: Eukaryota; Viridiplantae; Streptophyta; Magnoliopsida; Poales; Poaceae
Source: RefSeq, a predicted model, not a curated record
UCUUGCCGAUCUAGCAAUCGCCGAGCAGGCUGACCUUGAGGCUGCGUCCUUGACAUCCGGCGCCUUGCGGUCGGCGGCGGCGCCACCGUCGUCCCUGGGGAGCAGGGACAGAACGGCCCCGUUGGCUAUGCGCUGCGGUGGCGUCGAGGAAACUGGGGUGGGGGUAUGGGGAGUGGGAGCGGCGACGGCGGCGAGGAGGCGGGGAAUCGCCGUGAUGGGAUGGACCACGAAGGAGAGGGAGAAGGCGGCGGCGUCGCGUGGCAGUUGGAGUGUUGGACGGAGGCGGUGGCGUCGAGGAAAGUGGCGCCGUGGGUUGGGGGGUGUGGGGCGACGGACGGAGGAGGCAUGGAUUCCGCUGCAGGCGGGGCAGGGCGGUCGCCGGUGGCAGGGCGCGAUGGCGACGGUCGUCGGCGGCAGGGCGAUGCGCGACGGAGUGUGGGCGGAGUGGGCGGCAGACGCGGAGAAAAAGGAGUGGGGGAGGCGCCGCUCGAUAAGGGCAACCACAAUGUGCUUAAAAAGCAGGUAAUAAACAAUAAAUGCACUCGUCCAACCAGGUAAUAGCCAUUGUGGGGGCAGAUAACAGCAAGAAUCAGGCAGUAGUGUUACUGCCGGCAAGAGACAAAUAAAAUAUAGCAUGUGUACAGUGAUUUUAGAGAGUUGCACUAAAAUAAUAGAGUAGCAGUUAGCCGUUACAUUUGUAGCAAUUGUAACUUGUUGCAACAACGCUACAACCUCAUCCCUCUACAAAUACAAACACAACUCAGUCAUUUUCUGUAUUUCAUCAAAUAAGAUGGAUCCUCCCAACAGAGGUUUUAUGCACAUGCUUAGCUAGGGCUCCCAAAGCCAAACUUCUGGAAAUGGUAGCCAAAACUCCACUUCUCCACAGUUCCCCUCAAUAUUCUCCCAAUCCCAGUUUUCUCAAUCCUCAACACCCACUUUUCAGAACUUCCAUCCUUUUGGGGCUCCAAACAACUAUCAACCAUAUGGCAAUUCUACUCCAAGCUUCCACGGUUUUCAGCAGCAAGCACAUUGGUUACACUCUACACCAGUGAGUUUUCAAGGUUUUCGUCCUCCGGAAAAUUGGGUGUACUCACCUAAUCAAAUUACUGGGUCUGCUUCUUCCCACGGAUCAGAAUCAGCCUCUCAGUGCCCUGCAAGAUAUGAAGAGAACAAUGUGGUUGAUAUCGAAGAGUCAAGUGACAACAGUCAAGAGGCAGGGAGGAGAGGAACACGAGUCAACUGGACUGAAGAGGAAAACAUAAGACUCCUUAGCUCUUGGCUGAAUAAUUCAGUGGAUCCUAUAAAUGGUAAUGAUAAGAAGGCAGAAUACUAUUGGAAGGCUGUAGCUGUAGAGUUUAAUAGCAAUACAUCUAGAAGUAACCGCAAAAGGACAGUUGUGCAAUGCAAGACACAUUGGGGUGGUGUUAAGAAGGAAAUUGGAAAAUUUUGUGGAGCUUAUUCUCGAGCUAGAAGCACCUUCAGUAGUGGAUAUUCUGAUGAUAUGAUCAUGGAGAAAGCUCAUAUUAUGUUUAAGUCAGAAAACAAUGAAAAACCUUUCACAUUGGAGUAUAUGUGGAGAGAACUGAAAGAUCAACCAAAAUGGCGAAGGGUCUUAGAAGAAGAUAGUAAGAAUAAGAGGACUAAGAUCUCUGAAUCAGGUGCAUACACAUCAUCGUCCAACCAAGACACGGAGGAGGAGAACAGACGCAAAAAGGAGAACAGACGCAAAAAGAAGCGCCCUGAGGGACAGAAAAAAGCCAAAGCCAAGUUAAAAGGGAGAGGUAAAAAUGUCGCACCUUCUCCUUUGGGAGACCAGCCAUGUCAAGACUUUGUUCUUUACAAUGAAGCUAUAAAAGUGAAAGCAGAAGCGAUGCUGAAAUCUGCAGAAGCAACAUCGAAAUCAGCUGAAGCAAAGAAGGAAUACACAAGAAUGGAGAAGUAUCAGACAUACUUAAAAUUGUUGGACAAAGACACUUCAAAUUUUAGUGAUGCAAAACUGAAGAGGCAUGAAGCUGUCCUCGAAAAGCUAGCUACAGAACUUGCUGAAGAAUAAAUGAUCACCAAGUGAUGUUGUAUCCCUGUUACUUAGUGUGCCACUAUGUGGUCUAUGAUCAAUUUGCUGCUAGGAUUUAGACUUAGCAAUUAUUAGACUUGUGAACUCAGUGUUAAGUUUGUAGGCUAAGUAAAUGUUGGAUUGUAAACUUAGUGAAUGAUGGUUGUAUCUUUGUACCUGUAGAAGAUGUUAUGUACUGAUAAUAUGUAGCCCACAGUCUUAAUUGAACUUAUUUGAAGUUGUUGGCCCAUAAUUUCUUAGCACUUGAUUUAACA